CCUACGGGUGGCAGCAGUGGGGAAUAUUGGACAAUGGGCGAAAGCCUGAUCCAGCCAUGCCGCGUGUGUGAAGAAGGCCUUCGGGUUGUAAAGCACUUUCAGUGGGGAAGAAAGCCUUGGGGCUAAUACCCUCGAGGAAGGACAUCACCCACAGAAGAAGCACCGGCUAACACCGUGCCAGCAGCCGCGGUAAUACGGAGGGUGCGAGCGUUAAUCGGAAUUACUGGGCGUAAAGCGCGCGUAGGCGGUCUGAUAAGCCGGUUGUGAAAGCCCCGGGCUCAACCUGGGAACGGCAUCCGGAACUGUCAGGAUAGAGUGCAGGAGAGGAAGGUAGAAUUCCCGGUGUAGCGGUGAAAUGCGUAGAGAGCGGGAGGAAUACCAGUGGCGAAGGCGGCCUUCUGGACUGACACUGACGCUGAGGUGCGAAAGCGUGGGUAGCAAACAGGAUUAGAUACCCGGGUAGUC
RNAcentral lists this ribosomal RNA (465 nucleotides) under Vreelandella stevensii. RNAcentral describes it as "partial 16S ribosomal RNA". It matches the Rfam family "Bacterial small subunit ribosomal RNA", at positions 338 to 795 of the family's 1533-position model. The record is from RNAcentral. Lineage: Bacteria; Pseudomonadati; Pseudomonadota; Gammaproteobacteria; Oceanospirillales; Halomonadaceae.